Molecule: ribosomal RNA, 599 nt
Filed under: fungal sp. ARIZ B289
Lineage: Eukaryota; Fungi
Description: eukaryotic LSU rRNA
Rfam family: 5.8S ribosomal RNA (bases 231-384)
Source: RNAcentral
UGGAAGUAAAAGUCGUAACAAGGUCUCCGUUGGUGAACCAGCGGAGGGAUCAUUACAGAGUUGCAAAACUCCCUAAACCAUUGUGAACGUUACCUAUACCGUUGCUUCGGCGGGCGGCCCCGGGGUUUACCCCCCGGGCGCCCCUGGGCCCCACCGCGGGCGCCCGCCGGAGGUCACCAAACUCUUGAUAAUUUAUGGCCUCUCUGAGUCUUCUGUACUGAAUAAGUCAAAACUUUCAACAACGGAUCUCUUGGUUCUGGCAUCGAUGAAGAACGCAGCGAAAUGCGAUAAGUAAUGUGAAUUGCAGAAUUCAGUGAAUCAUCGAAUCUUUGAACGCACAUUGCGCCCGCCAGCAUUCUGGCGGGCAUGCCUGUUCGAGCGUCAUUUCAACCAUCAAGCCCCCGGGCUUGUGUUGGGGACCUGCGGCUGCCGCAGGCCCUGAAAAGCAGUGGCGGGCUCGCUGUCGCACCGAGCGUAGUAGCAUACAUCUCGCUCUGGUCGCGCCGCGGGUUCCGGCCGUUAAACCACCUUUUAACCCAAGGUUGACCUCGGAUCAGGUAGGAAGACCCGCUGAACUUAAGCAUAUCAAUAAGCGGAGG